Cyanistes caeruleus (blue tit) is the source of this 487-nucleotide long non-coding RNA. RefSeq lists it as uncharacterized. Lineage: Eukaryota; Metazoa; Chordata; Aves; Passeriformes; Paridae. The record is from RefSeq and is a predicted model, not a curated record.
CUGUGGAUUGCAGGCUUGGCCUUCCCAGCGUGCCAGAAAGCUCAGGACCUUUACGUUUCCUUCCCUUACAGCACAGCACUCUGGAAGCGGGAGAACCUUGCAAGCAUUUGAUGAUGUCUCUUCAGGACCUCACGGUGUAAUUGGAGUGAUUCUCUGGAACACUGCUGGGCAGCAAUAAGGAUCCCGAUUUCUGUUUCAAUCUCCUAGAAUAGCACAGAGAAAAUCACUGCAAGGUGGGAGUUACUAAAGGAACCCAAAGGAACUGGAAGCUGCUGAACAUCAAGGACAUCUGGUUAUAUCUGCUUCCUUUGGCUGCCUCUGUCCCACUGUCUACCACAAUAAAGAUGGGAUUUAGUGAUAACUACUUCUAACAUGAACAGAAAUAGUUGAUUGUAAAAACAAACCCAAUGAAAUAUUCAGUAAUAAAAUGGUCAAGUCACUAAAUAAUGCAUCCAGCUGUCUCUAGUGCUUGACCUUUGCAAAAUUC